GUAAUACGGAGGGGGUUAGCGUUGUUCGGAAUUACUGGGCGUAAAGCGCGCGUAGGCGGAUUAGAAAGUUGGGGGUGAAAUCCCGGGGCUCAACCUCGGAACUGCCUCCAAAACUGCUAGUCUAGAGUUCGAGAGAGGUGAGUGGAAUUCCGAGUGUAGAGGUGAAAUUCGAAGAUAUUCGGAGGAACACCAGUGGCGAAGGCGGCUCACUGGCUCGAUACUGACGCUGAGGUGCGAAAGUGUGGGGAGCAAACAGGAUUAGAUACCCUGGUAGUCCACACCGUAAACGAUGAAUGCCAGUCGUCGGAUAGUAUACUAUUCGGUGACACACCUAACGGAUUAAGCAUUCCGCCUGGGGAGUACGGUCGCAAGAUUAAAACUCAAAGGAAUUGACGGGG
RNAcentral lists this ribosomal RNA (398 nucleotides) under uncultured bacterium. RNAcentral describes it as "bacterial SSU rRNA". It matches the Rfam family "Bacterial small subunit ribosomal RNA", at positions 520 to 918 of the family's 1533-position model. The record is from RNAcentral.